CAAAGUGACAGGUGGUGCAUGGUUGUCGUCAGCUCGUGUCGUGAGAUGUUGGGUUAAGUCCCGCAACGAGCGCAACCCUUAAGCUUAGUUGCCAUCAUUAAGUUGGGCACUCUAAGUUGACUGCCGGUGACAAACCGGAGGAAGGUGGGGAUGACGUCAAAUCAUCAUGCCCCUUAUGAUUUGGGCUACACACGUGCUACAAUGGACAAUACAAAGGGCAGCGAAACCGCGAGGUCAAGCAAAUCCCAUAAAGUUGUUCUCAGUUCGGAUUGUAGUCUGCAACUCGACUACAUGAAGCUGGAAUCGCUAGUAAUCGUAGAUCAGCAUGCUACGGUGAAUACGUUCCCGGGUCUUGUACACACCGCCCGUCACACCACGAGAGUUUGUAACACCCGAAGCCGGUGGAGUAACCUUUUAGGAGCUAGCCGUCGAAGGUGGGACAAAUGAUUGGGGUGAAGUCGUAACAAGGUAGCCGUAUCGGAAGGUGCGGCU
Molecule: ribosomal RNA, 492 nt
Filed under: Staphylococcus aureus
Lineage: Bacteria; Bacillati; Bacillota; Bacilli; Caryophanales; Staphylococcaceae
Description: bacterial SSU rRNA
Rfam family: Bacterial small subunit ribosomal RNA
Source: RNAcentral